CCUGGCCCUCCCGACAGCACCAGAAACGCCGCUCCGUUUACCCACAUUGCCCCUAUUUAAAAACAAAACAAAAAGCCCCACUCCACCAUCAGCCCUUCAGCAUCCAAGACACCAGGGAAGGACAGACAGUGGUGGGAGGACGCUCCAUAUGCCAGCGGUGUGAGCACUUCACAUAUUGCCCUUCGUUUUACUGAAGAUGAAGAGGGGCAGAAACUCCAAGCACACAAAAUGGAACUAGAAACGGACCCCACCUUGAAGACAUGUACAACCAGGAUAACAGCCUGCCAGGAGGCGGAACCAGGAAAAACGGAGUCUGGACAGAGUCAUCCAUGGGGCACACUGAAAACAGCCCCCAGAUGAGGGCUCUGCACAAACCUGGAGUCAACUCUCUAAUGCAUCUGCACCUAAGAAGUCCUCAAUACCACUGGGUGAAGUUUCCUAGACAUUAUUUGGAAGGCCAAGCUCCUUGGUGACAGUUCACUCACUAUAUACUGAAAUAUUUUAGAAGGUUCUAUUGUAAACCCAGAGCCAAAAACCUUUUUCCUGGAACACCUGGGUGGCUCAGCGGUUGAGCGUCUGCCUUUCGCUCAGGGUGUGAUCCCAGGGUCCUGGGAUCAAGUCCCGCAUCAGGCACCCUGCAUGGAGCCUGCUUCUCCCUCUGCCUGUGUCUCUGCCCCCCUCUUUCUCUCUCUCUCAUGAAUGAAUAAAUAAAAUCUUUACAAAAAAAAUAAAAAACUU
Molecule: long non-coding RNA, 738 nt
Filed under: Vulpes vulpes (red fox)
Lineage: Eukaryota; Metazoa; Chordata; Mammalia; Carnivora; Canidae
Description: lncRNA (ENSVVUG00000024106.1)
Source: RNAcentral